UGUUCCUACGGGGGGCAGCAGUGGGGAAUAUUGCACAAUGGGGGAAACCCUGAUGCAGCGACGCCGCGUGAGUGAAGAAGUAAUUCGUUACGUAAAGCUCUAUCAGCAGGGAAGAAAUACUGACCUUACGGUCAGCAGACGGUACCUGAGUAAGAAGCCCCGGCUAACUACGUGCCAGCAGCCGCGGUAAUACGUAGGGGGCAAGCGUUAUCCGGAUUUACUGGGUGUAAAGGGAGCGUAGGCGGUGCGCC
This 251-nucleotide ribosomal RNA is filed under the name uncultured bacterium. RNAcentral's name for it is "partial 16S ribosomal RNA". It matches the Rfam family "Bacterial small subunit ribosomal RNA", at positions 334 to 584 of the family's 1533-position model. The record is from RNAcentral.